Molecule: small nucleolar RNA, 142 nt
Organism: Myiozetetes cayanensis
Lineage: Eukaryota; Metazoa; Chordata; Aves; Passeriformes; Tyrannidae
Product: small nucleolar RNA SNORD94
Exons: 1
Source: RefSeq, a predicted model, not a curated record
AUGGCAGUGAUGAUUGGCGCAGGGGUACGGACCUCAGCUGGAUCAUGGGAGCUGAGUGCAGGCUGGUGCUUUGGGUGCAGCUGGCGUGUGGCUGGCUCGCUGCAAACGAGUCUGCAUGAGACUUUGCCAAAGGCUGAGCCAU